Astatotilapia calliptera (eastern happy) is the source of this 828-nucleotide long non-coding RNA. The record is from Ensembl. NCBI's taxonomy places the organism in Eukaryota, Metazoa, Chordata, Actinopteri, Cichliformes, Cichlidae.
AUUGGCUGAGCCUUUCAGGGAGCUCUGUUGAGUUUUAGCAGCGGCAAGCCUGCGCUGCGAGGAGGAGGACGGCAGCGAAGAGGAAGAAUCUGGAUAUAAGAAAGUAUUUUUCAGAGAAACCUGAUCUAAAGAGAUAAGAGUUCAGCUUACUGGUGUGGCCCUCCCAGUUUCUCAUGUGCCCACCCCUGCUCAGAAGCGCCCUAAGGGGGAGAAAAGUGAUGAAUCUAAGGUCCCAUGACUGACAGGGACAGAAAGUAUUAACAUGUCACCAUCAACGUUUGCUUCACAAGGUGCACGUGCUCCAAGGUGAUGCUGAGAGCUGAUGUUUCACAAAAGAAAGACAGACAGAUGGAAAUGAAACUUAUACCAAAGUCCACAUGAGAGAAACUGCUUGACUUUUUUAAUAUUAGUUAGUUUACUUCAGUUCUAACAGAAAAUAAUGUGUUUCUGUUAUUUUAGCCAACAUGCACCUGCCUGCACCAAUUACAAAUGUGAAAUGUAAUACAUAUAUGUAUUACAUCACUUAUGUGCCAACGUGCUUCCAUGGUAUGAUUCAAUUCAAUUCAAUUUUAUUUAUAUAGCGCCAAAUCACAACAAAAGUCGCCUCAAGGCGCUUCAUAGAUACAGAGAAAAACCCAACAAUCAUAUGACCCCCUAUGAGCAGCACUUUGGUGACAGUGGGAAGGAAAAACUCCCUUUUAACAGGAAGAAACCUCCAGCAGAACCAGGCUCAGGGAGGGGCGGGGCCAUCUGCUGUGAUUGGUUGGGGUGAGAGAAGGAAGACAGGAUAAAGACAUGCUGUGGAAGAGAGACAGAGAUUAAUAACAG